This 699-nucleotide long non-coding RNA is filed under the name Homo sapiens (human). RNAcentral's name for it is "non-protein coding PANTR1:51". Lineage: Eukaryota; Metazoa; Chordata; Mammalia; Primates; Hominidae. The record is from RNAcentral.
AGUGUGAAGGGAAGGCUAAGGACGCAUCGGUGCUGGAGAGUUGAGAAUAUGCCUUCCCCUCCACCCCCAACCCAGUCACCUUAUUUGAAAAAAAAUUAAAAAACACCUUUUAUUUAAAAACCUAACCCUGGAAGUUUGCUCGGGAAGGCAUUCUCUUCCUCUUCCUCCAGCUGCCUGAAAAUCAUAUGCGUGGUUUUUCCUGUUUCCUGCUCUGUAGCUGACAUCAGGGGAGCAACGUGAACACAGGAAAAUGGAAAUCAACAUUUGAAACUUUUAAAUGGAAGCUUUAUUGGGGUUCCACAUAUGGAAAACUGCAAAUAGCAGAAGUAUGUGACUCAAUAAAUUAUUCUGGAGUGACCACAUCCUCUAACUGCCUCCCAGGACAAGACGGAGAAUGUGAACAAUGCUCCUGAAGGCCCCUUUCCCUCAAAGAAUCACUGCAAUUGAAGGAAAAAUGCUCCAUGUCCCCUCUGCCAGUUGGUGUUUAUCAAAGGACAACGGAGGAAGAGAGACAAAGUGCCUGGAUGUGUGUGUUAAUCAAGAGUUGUCAGGACCCUGCCUCUAAAAGAAAGCGCUAAAAUGAUGCUUUUGACAAGACUUUUCUCAAAGUGGAUGCAGUCUAAGGGUUGGAAAACAAGGCCCAAUCAGGCUAGGUCUGACUUGUCGCCUGCUUUUGUAAAUAAAGUUUUAUUGGCUCAC